Molecule: long non-coding RNA, 1831 nt
Organism: Lemur catta (Ring-tailed lemur)
Lineage: Eukaryota; Metazoa; Chordata; Mammalia; Primates; Lemuridae
Exons: 3
Source: RefSeq, a predicted model, not a curated record
UCCUGUGUCGGUCCAGGGUCUCCAACAGCGCGGGGUGGGGGUGGGGGCGGGGAUAGGGCGGCUUUCCCCCGGGGAUCCCCGCUGCAGAGCAUCCCACUGCUGCGUUCCCGGACACAUGCCCCCUCCCCCCGCCCCAGCACACAUGGCGCGCGCGGGUGUGGAAACUGAGGCUGGAGAGGAGGGACCGCGACCGGGAAUGGCCGGGGCCGGAGUUGCGGCGGAGCUUCCAGGACAGAAGGGGGUUCUAGAGGGCCACGCCCCCCCAGCGUGCUCCCUGGCGGCCGGGCAGGAUGAGGCAGAGUCCUGUGUUGCAGGCUCAGUCCUGAGCCCCACGCCUCCCUGGGCCUCAGUCUCCACCACCGCGCAGGUGGCCAGAGCCGCCCUCUCCGCCCUGCUCCUGCCUCCGAGAGGGCGGAGAGACGGCGGCCCGGGACUGCGGCUCCCGUGGCGUCCCGUGAUUGCACAGGACGAUAAUGAGGGUUUGGAGGGUGGCGCGCGCCCCGCGCCAGCUUUCUAGGACUCACUCCCAUUUUGCCCCAUCUCUUCCCCACUCCCUUUGCUGUUGAGCCUGCCCAGACUUGGGGAGAAACAUCUCUAAGAAGCCUCUACCCCCUCCUUUGGGGCGCCAAGCCGAUUCGGUCCUGUUGGUAUGAAAUGGAAAAUCUGUGUUUUGAGCAAACACCCCAGGCCAUCUGCUGUGUUCACACUUUGAGAAACACUGGUGGAGUUUUAAAUGCCCCUCCAGGAAGGGAGGAGAGCCUGAGAAUGAAUCUGACCCAAACCCAUCCACCUAAGUUCUGGUCAUUUGGAAGGAGGAAGAACAGCCUGGAUACUGGCAGGAAAGGAUGACAAGCUGGGAGCCACAGAGCUUCCUGAGACUGGCAGUGGGGUCACCAAGGGGUCCCCUAUUUCCUAUUCCUGCUACCCGUACUGUGGGCAGGUGUGAAAGAUGCUGGGAGUGAGGCAGGACACCUGCUUACCUGCAGACCUUUCAGCAGAGCCACAGAAGCUUAUCAUGUACUGGAACUGUUCCAAGUGCUUUCCAUAUAUUUAACCCCUGCCACAAUCCUGUGAGGUAGGUACUACCGUUAUCCCCACUUUACAGAUGGGAAAAGUGAGGCUCAGAGGUAUUAAGUAACUUGCCAAGGUCACACAGCUAGGCAAUGGUGGAGCUGGGGCUUGAAUCCGGGUUGUGGCUCUGCUUACCCCCAUGCCAUACUGCAUAUAUUCUGUAUGCAUUCUAUUCAUUCUUCUAACAUGGCCUAGGAGAAGAUACCAAGGAAAGGGAAAUGGAGGGUGGGGGGAUCCUAGGGGGAAGGAUCCAAGGAAAGUCAUAAAAAUGGGUGAAAAGGAAAAUCCCAAACAUACUUUCCCCCAUUUAUGUUCUCCCUCAACACUACUCUUGCCUUUCUUUUUUCAUGUCUCCUUCUUGUUCCCUGUGUCUGGGAGACUGUGGAGAUGGCCUGGGAUGAUUACCUGCUCACUGGUUGCCCAAGGAGAUCACAGGGACUGGACCUUCCACCUGUCCUGUUUCUAUUCCUGGCAGGCAGGCCCACCAGUCUCCAGCCAAGUGGGGAAGGUAUUUCCCUUCUCGGGAUUCCUGGAUGGGGCCAGUGGCAUUAGUUCUCAGGAGAUAUGUGAUAGAGAUGGAGGCCUGGAGGGGGCAGGGGACUGGGAGUGUGUCUGAGGAAGACAUUCAGGCCAGAUGGUUAGUCGUUUUGGGGACAAUCAAUGCCAUGUCCUGGUACAGCCUCCACCCUCCUCUGACUGUCACUAGAUGUCUGGCAGGUGUGUUGGGACAGAUAAUCAAUAAUAAUAAUAAUAGUUUACA